RNAcentral lists this ribosomal RNA (253 nucleotides) under uncultured bacterium. RNAcentral's name for it is "partial 16S ribosomal RNA". It matches the Rfam family "Bacterial small subunit ribosomal RNA", at positions 524 to 776 of the family's 1533-position model. The record is from RNAcentral.
CACGAAGGGGGCUAGCGUUGCUCGGAAUUACUGGGCGUAAAGAGCUCGUAGGUGGUUUGUCGCGUUGUUCGUGAAAUCUCACGGCUUAACUGUGAGCGUGCGGGCGAUACGGGCAGACUAGAGUACUGCAGGGGAGACUGGAAUUCCUGGUGUAGCGGUGGAAUGCGCAGAUAUCAGGAGGAACACCGGUGGCGAAGGCGGGUCUCUGGGCAGUAACUGACGCUGAGGAGCGAAAGCGUGGGGAGCGAACAGG